Molecule: long non-coding RNA, 428 nt
Filed under: Mustela putorius furo (domestic ferret)
Lineage: Eukaryota; Metazoa; Chordata; Mammalia; Carnivora; Mustelidae
Description: lncRNA (ENSMPUG00000028398.1)
Source: RNAcentral
CCCCCUCUCUCUCUCUGGCUGUCUCUCUGCGUACUUUUGAUCUCUCUCUGUCAAAUAAACAAAUAAAAUCUUAAAAAAAAAAAAAAAAAGAAAGAAAGAAAGCUAACGGAGGAUGUGUUGGCAAGGGAAGGUCCUAGGAGCACAGCGGAACACCACCAGGAAUGAGGGGUAGCACAGAAGACUCCAGAGCACAGUCUUCAGGAAGAUGGGACUGAGAAGAGUACAGCUGGAGACUGGAACUAACAUAGUGAUAAAGACAGAAAACCAAGCAAGUACUCAGUGACAGCAUAUGCUUCACGCUGAAUGUGGGGCUUGAACUCACAACUCUGAAAUCAAGACUUGAGAUCAAGAGUUGGAUGCUGCACCAACUAAGCCAUCCAGGUGCCCCACAGGAUUUUAAACACUUAACACAAAAAAUUGAUUUGAAC